RNAcentral lists this ribosomal RNA (1256 nucleotides) under uncultured bacterium. Its description in RNAcentral is "bacterial SSU rRNA". It matches the Rfam family "Bacterial small subunit ribosomal RNA", at positions 92 to 1366 of the family's 1533-position model. The record is from RNAcentral.
UUAGUGGCGGACGGGUGAGUAACGCGUGAGCAACCUGCCCCUGUGUGUGGAAUAACGUUUGGAAACGAACGCUAAUACCGCAUAAUGCAUGGGAAUCGCAUGUUUUCCAUGCCAAAGAUUUAUUGCACAGGGAUGGGCUCGCGUCCGAUUAGAUAGUUGGUGAGGUAACGGCCCACCAAGUCGACGAUCGGUAGCCGGACUGAGAGGUUGAACGGCCACAUUGGAACUGAGAAACGGUCCAGACUCCUACGGGAGGCAGCAGUGGGGAAUAUUGGGCAAUGGGCGAAAGCCUGACCCAGCGACGCCGCGUGAAGGAAGACGGUCUUCGGAUUGUAAACUUCUUUUAUAAGGGACGAAGCAUGACGGUACCUUAUGAAUAAGCCACGGCUAACUACGUGCCAGCAGCCGCGGUAAUACGUAGGUGGCGAGCGUUAUCCGGAUUUACUGGGUGUAAAGGGUGUGUAGGCGGGAUUGCAAGUCAGAUGUGAAAACUAUGGGCUCAACUCAUAGCCUGCAUUUGAAACUGUGAUUCUUGAGGGUCGGAGAGGUAACUGGAAUUCCUGGUGUAGCGGUGAAAUGCGUAAAUAUCAAGGAGGAACACCCGUGGGGAAGGCGGGGUUACUGGACGAUUUCUGACGCUGAGACAGAAAAGCGGGGGAGCAAAACAGGAAUUAGGAUACCCUGGUAGUCCACGCUGAAAACGGAUGAAUGCUAGGUGUGGGGGGUGCAAAACUUCCGUACCGCAGUUAACACAAUAAGCAUUCCACCUGGGGAGUACGGCCGCAAGGUUGAAACUCAAAGGAAUUGACGGGAGCCCGCACAAGCAGUGGAGUAUGUGGUUUAAUUCGACGCAACGCGAAGAACCUUACCGGGGUUUGACAUCCCAAGGAUCCGGCGUAACGGCUGGAGUGCCCUUCGGGGAACUUGGAGACAGGUGGUGCAUGGUUGUCGUCAGCUCGUGUCGUGAGAUGUUGGGUUAAGUCCCGCAACGAGCGCAACCCCUACGUUUAGUUGCUACGCAAGAGCACUCUAGACGGACUGCCGUUGACAAAACGGAGGAAGGCGGGGAUGACGUCAAAUCAUCAUGCCCCUUACAUUCCGGGCUACACACGUACUACAAUGGCGAAAACAAAGGGAAGCAAUACCGCGAGGAGGAGCAAACCCCAUAAAAGUCGCCCCAGUUCGGACUGCAGGCUGCAACUCGCCUGCACGAAGUUGGAAAAAGUAGUAAUCGCGGAUCAGCAUGCCGCGGUGAA